CCCGGGCCUUGUACACACCGCCCGUCACACCAUGGGAGUUGGAGGUACCGGAAAACGCUGUUGUAACCGUAAGGAGCUAAGCGUUUAUGGUAUGGCCGAUGACUGGGGUG
This 110-nucleotide ribosomal RNA is filed under the name uncultured bacterium. RNAcentral's name for it is "partial 16S ribosomal RNA". It matches the Rfam family "Bacterial small subunit ribosomal RNA", at positions 1373 to 1482 of the family's 1533-position model. The record is from RNAcentral.